This 957-nucleotide ribosomal RNA is filed under the name Abudefduf vaigiensis (Indo-Pacific sergeant). RNAcentral's name for it is "partial 16S rRNA". The stretch from base 188 to 957 matches the Rfam family "Bacterial large subunit ribosomal RNA", at positions 568 to 1829 of the family's 2925-position model. Lineage: Eukaryota; Metazoa; Chordata; Actinopteri; Pomacentridae. The record is from RNAcentral.
CGCCCAAUAGCUAGCUCACCCCUACAAAACCAAUAUUACCCUAUUAAUAACCCCUAAUACACUUAGACUCAUAAACAAACCAUUUUUCCUCCUUAGUACGGGCGACGGAAAAGGAACCUGAAGCAAUAGAGAAAGUACCGCAAGGGAAAGCUGAAAGAGGAAUGAAACAACCCAGUAAAGCACUAAAAAGCAGAGACACAACCUCGUACCUUUUGCAUCAUGAUUUAGCCAGCACCCCUUAAGCAAAGAGAAUUUUAGUUUAAUACCCCGAAACUAGGUGAGCUACUCCAAGACAGCCUAAUCAAUAGGGCGCCCCCGUCUCUGUGGCAAAAGAGUGGGAAGAGCUUUGAGUAGAGGUGACAGACCUACCGAACCUAGUAAUAGCUGGUUGCCUGGGAAUUGGAUAGAAGUUCAGCCUCAUAAGUUCUUCCCUCGCCCUGUCCAACCGGCCUAUUCCUGAGACCAGAAGAAAUUUUGAGAGUUAGUCAAAGGGGGUACAGCCCCUUUGAAACAAGACACAACUUUUCCAGGAGGAUAAAGAUCAUAAUAAUUUUAAGGCAAAAUGCUAUGGUGGGCCUAAAAGCAGCCAUCCUAAUAGAAAGCGUUAAAGCUCAAGCAUUAAUUAACCCCUACAAUACUGAUAAUAGAUCUAAAACCCCUAAACUUACCAGGCCGCUCCAUGCCCCCAUGGAAGCGACCAUGCUAAUAUGAGUAAUAAGAGAGCCCAAACUCUCUCCCAGCACAUGUGUAAAUCGGAACGGACCCCCCACCGAACCUUAACGGUCCCAAACAAAGAGGGCAAUGAGCAAAAAACCAAACAACAAGAAAAACACCCACUAUAACACCGUUAACCCCACACCGGCGUGCCAACAAGGAAAGACUAAAAGAAAAAGAAGGAACUCGGCAAACACACAAACUAAGCCUCGCCUGUUUACCAAAAACAUCGCCUCUUGAAAA